GAUAAACGCUGGCGGCGUGCCUAAUGCAUGCAAGUCGGACGGGGCGUCUUCGGGCACUCACGUGGCGGACGGGUGAGGAACACGUGGGCAAUCUGCCCUGGGGUGGGGGGUAGCCGCUGGAAACAGCGGGUAAUUCCGCAUGUGCUGCAUCGCCUGUGGGGUGGUGCAGGAAAGGCCUCCGUGUGAUGCGGAGGUCGCCCUGGGAGGAGCCUGCGGCCGAUUAGCUCGCUGGUGGGGUAACGGCCUACCAGGGCGAUGAUCGGUAGCUGGUCUGAGAGGACGACCAGCCACAGGGGAACUGAGACACGGUCCCCACUCCUACGGGAGGCAGCAGCAAGGAAUUUUCCGCAAUGGGCGAAAGCCUGACGGAGCAACGCCGCGUGCGGGAUGACGCCUCUCGGGGUGUAAACCGCUUUUGUCGGGGACGAAGGCCCCUCGGGCGACCGCAGGGGUGAGACGGUACCCGGCGAAGAAGGUCCGGCUAACUACGUGCCAGCAGCCGCAGUAAAAC
Molecule: ribosomal RNA, 511 nt
Filed under: uncultured bacterium
Lineage: Bacteria
Description: bacterial SSU rRNA
Rfam family: Bacterial small subunit ribosomal RNA
Source: RNAcentral